Molecule: long non-coding RNA, 5492 nt
Filed under: Sus scrofa (pig)
Lineage: Eukaryota; Metazoa; Chordata; Mammalia; Artiodactyla; Suidae
Description: lncRNA (ENSSSCG00015041646.1)
Source: RNAcentral
UUUUUUCUUUUUUUCAGAAAUAUAGACAUGAGUAAUAAAAGCAAUAAUGAACACAAACAAAAGGGCUAUAGCCGGACACUUAAUUCUGGUUCAGCGAAGUCUCUGACCACCACCGGGGAUCGUGUCGGCUGAGUCCGGUCUCAGACAGUUGUGUGCAAAGCCCAGGACGAAAGCAGAAAUCCAGGCUGGAAAGUGUCCGUGUCAUCUCUUUUCAAAACCACAUUUCUGCGGCUCAGCGUGCGCUCGCCCCGCCGAAUACCCGCCCCCAACCCCGCCCAGACUCUUCUCUCCGUCAAUACUGACACUCACUCAGCCCCAGGGCCAGCACCGAGCUGGCGGAGACAGCGGUGGGGUCGCCUCCACAUCUAUGCGCUCCGAGGUGGGAGGAACCUCACAGCAGCCGAAGCCAAUGGGAGGGAAAAGGCAGAGCUUAGCUUUGUGGGUUGGGAAGGUUUACGGCAACAGCCCGAGUAGUGUGCACACCUGGGAAUGAGUUUCCCCAGGAGUUUUGAUAAAGAUCUGGGAGUAGAGGCCGCCCCUGGGAUGCGUUAGAGGAAACCCCGAAAGCGCCACCUGUCAGGAGCGGCGGUCGUCCUAAGAACCAUAGGGGAGGGGUAAGCGGCCGCAGAGGGAUGUGAUGGGCAAGGGGCCCUUCGUUUCCAGUGUGGACCCUUUCGAGGAGCAGGGUCAGAGUCUCAGAAGCACCUCCUGCACAAGCCUGAAUGCCUCCGCCCUAAGGAACUCUCCAUCUUGGGACGCAAAGGGACGCUCGUGCACAAAAGUGGCUGCCAAGCUGGUGGCAAGACCCUAGGCGGAGGAACGCCACACUCCCAGCCCCUGAGCGGGUCCCUGGGUGGGACGCCCUUGCCACCUGUCGCACCAGCCCAGGACCCAGUUCUUUCAGAUCCUGCCAUUUCCUUCUCCCGGCCCUAUUCAUUGUUCCCUAACUGGCCCGGUUCCCCCGAAUCUCUGAGAAUUGGAGGUAUCGCCUGUGCUGAGCGUUGUUCCUAAAACCGGAACCACGCAGUCUCAAAGGGGGACGAUCUGACCCCCAUUCUAGAGCAGGAAAACUGUAGCUGCCUGUGGGGUCCCACAGAGCUGGCAGCUGACGCAGUCCUUGAGCCGUGGGUACCUCCUUCCCAGCUAUUUCCUCCACGCCCUGGCUGCUCACUGGGCAGUCAGUGGCCCAGAGGCUUCGCCUGGAAGCUGGUUAGAGAAGCUGGUUAGAGAAUCUUUUCUAAGCCUCACCACCCACUCUCCGAAUCAGAAUCUGAAUUUUGACACAAUUCUGAGUCACAUUGCAGUUUGAAAAGUGCAUCUCUGAGGCAGCGGUUCGGAAACUUUAGGGAGCCUUAGAAGGCCCUGGAACUCCUGUUAAAACACAGCCCUCUGGGCCUCACCCUCAGAGAUUCUUUUGUAUUUAUUAUUUUUUUAACUGAACUGCCGUUGACUUACAAUAUGAUGUUCGUUUCACAUCUGUACAGAUGUGGAUAUUCUUCUUCAGAUACUUUUCCAUUCUGGAUUAUAAGAUGUUGAGUACAGUUCCCUGUGCUUUACAGCAAAUCCUUUUUCUUUACCUAUUUGGUAUACAGUGGUGUCUCUCUGUUAAUCCCAUACUCCUCGUUUAUCCCUCCGGAGUUUCUGAUUCAGAAAGUGGGAUGGGGAGUUCCUGCUGUGGAGCAGUGGGUUAAGCAUCCAACUUCAGUGGCUCGCGUCCCUGCAGAGGUGUGGGACCCAUCCCUGGCCUGGCGCAGGAGGCUAAAGGACCCAGCAUUGCCGCAGCUUCGGCGUCGGUGGCAGCUGCGGCCCUGAUUCAGUCCCUGGCCCAGGAAUUUCCAUGUGCCGUGGGUAUGGCCAUUGCAAGAAAAAUAGAAAGAAAGUGGGAUGGGGUCUGAGAUUCGGCCUUUUCAACAGACCCGGGCGUUGCUGAUGCUGCUGAUCUGGGCGCACAGCUGGAGAAGAUGGACUUUUUCCACCGCACGUUGUGAGCAGUCAGCUCCACCAGGCAAGGAGGCUGGCCUGGCAAACAGGCAGCCUGAGGUCUCUCCGAGGCAGGAAAGGAGUCCUGUCCCCUGGGAGGCCAGGAGCAGCAAGCGCAAGAAGGAAAAACUCAAGGACAUCUUUCUAUCCCUUUAUACGGAGCCGGCUUCCGCAGCCUGGUUCUGCGGUCCUAACACAGGGGGUGCGGGCGCCCCUCCCCGCAGAACCUCCGCAUGCCUGGUGUGGUUGUCGCCAGCAAAAAUGUCUCCAAUUUAAGUCCACCUCUGACUUUUCACUUACUGCUUCCUUUGAUCCCCUCUGUGAGUGGGGGAAGUCAGCGGGUCAGAUCUGAGCGACCCGAUUUACAAAUGAGAAAAACCACCACUGGGAGGGGAAAAGAACAGGACCCUCGCCUAACGGCUGACAAAACUAGAGUGAAAAACCAUUCCUCAACUCUUACCCCGUUAAUUUCCCCACAAUAAUUCACUGCCCUUUGGGUCCCACUGGAGAGAGUACGGCUAAGAUAUUUCUGAUCAUCCUCCAGGUGGGGCAGGUGCAUGGCUCGUCCAGAUGAUCGAGAAAGCAGCAUUCCACUCAUUUACACAUCACAAAAAAAAAAAAGAAAGAAAGACACGCAGACAGGUCUACACACACAAAACAAUUAAGUGACUUCCCCAAAGCCGCAGUGUUAAAAACAUCUGAGCUCAGCAUCAAUGCUCAAAAAGAUCAAAGGCUUUCCAGGGAGACACCAUCCCCAACCAGAGAAAAUCUGGUACUGAUUUAACUCCACGUUUGGCCAUUCACAAAAUCGUAGGCGGUGCCAAAACUUUAAAAGAGCUGUGCUCCCACAAGUGCGGUUUUUAAGUCCGUUUCUUCAAGUGCAAAAUGCCUCCAGAACAUUCAGUACAGAUUAAUGGAACAUUAACGAAUUUCUCUGAAACUUGUAAUGAUGUCAGUGGCAGAGAUGUUUUCCAGGCUAGUACAUAAAAUCCAAUUUCACCCACAAGACACCUGAAACACCAUUUAUCUCUGCGACAGUGUCUUCUAAGGGAGAUUGCGUUGGAACAUCUAGUUCAAAGCAUGUGGCAGGAGCCUUCCCCAAUUGUCUCACGCUGGGUUUUAAUUGCUUGGUUGUUUGUCUGUCGUCCCCUCUACAGGGCGAGGAAGUAGGAACCCUGUCUCCCUUAUGUCAUCAUUGUACCCCCAGUGCAAUGCCUGACACACAAAGAUGUUCAGUGUUUGAAUAAGUGAUCACUGUUCCUUGGGCCUGAAAUGCGCUUUGAUGGGCUAAAUCGCAUGUCCACUCGUGAAGCCACACCUCCUCGCCCGUUCAUCAAAGUCAGAUACUCAUCAACGUCUUUCUCUCCCCUUCCUCUCCUUCCUCAUCACAGCCAAGAACACACGAUUUUAAAUGCCUCCUCAUUUCCUGCAAGUACCGUUUUUCAGGAUGGCACCCACAUGCUCAGAACUUCAGAUUGGCUUUUUCACUCCCUCAUGCUUAACAUUGAGUAGAUACAAGGUCAACUUUUAAGACCAAGAUUAAAACAAACAGCUAAAAUCUACACGUGGGAAACAAGCUGCAGGAAGAGACUGCUUCGAGGAUGUGGUCUAAGGAGUUCACGUCGUGGCGCAGUGGAAACGAAUCUGACUAGCAUCCAUGAGGAUGCUGGUUCGAUCCCUGGCCUCGCUCAGUGGGUUAAGGAUCCAGCCCUGGGAACCUCCAUGUGCCAAGGGUGAAACCCUAAAAAAAGAAAAAGAAAAAGAAAAAGAAAAGAAAUGGGGUCUGAGAUCCUCAGAGAAGAGGGGUGAAGAGGUAGUCUAGGAACCGUGAACAGGGAGACACGAUCUUAUAUUGAACUAAAGGAACAUCCAAAGAAAAGCAUGAGAGCGGAAAUUAUAAACUCAGCAGAGAGGCUGGAUGAUAAAGGUGUAGCUAUCUAUCAGAAUAGAGGCCAAGAAAGGAAAAACAAGAAAAAAAAGAUAAGAAAAUUAGCGGAGUGCUGCCUGGGGUCCAACGUCUAAACAACUGAGGUUCAGAGAAAGAGAGAGAACCGAGCAAAGGAAUUCGCCAUCAUUAACAAGUUCAAUACACCCUGGCAGAGAGGACCUGAAAGCGUCAGUUUCCAGAUGCGAAGGGUACAUUCGAAGACAUUCAACUUGGACCCGGCAAACCACGAUGAAAAUUCAGAACAUGAAUGACAAACGCCAUGAGCUCCCAGAGAGGAAAAGGGAGACCCCAUCCGAAGAGUGAGAUUUGAGAAUGGCUGUGAACUUCUCAAUGGCAACCCUGAAAAGCAGGGGAGAGCGGAGCAGUGCCCUCCAAAUCUGGAAGGAAUAUGAGUUCCAACUUAGAAUUCCAUAUAUAACAUCUUGUCAUCAAGAACAGGUGUAAUAGAGAAAUGUUUAGAUUUGAAAUCGUUCAAAAACUUUUAUCUCCCGUGGAAUUUCUUUGUCAGAGGAUUUUCUCCAGCAAAAAAAGGAGCUAGGUUUAUCUAGAUACAGAUAUAAAUAUGGAUGUAGACAUAAAGAUAUAGAUAAAGGGAGUUCCCGUUGUGGCUCAGCAGUAACAAAGGAUCCAGGGAGAUGUGGGUUCGAUCCCUGGCCUUGCUCCGUGGGUUAAGGAUCCGGCGUUGCCAUGAGCUGUGGUGUGGGUCACCGUCGAGGCUUGGAUCUGGCGUGGCUGUGGCUGUGGUGUAGGCUGGCAGCUGCAGCUCCGAUUGGACCUCUAGCCUGGGAACUUCCAUAUGCUGAGCAUGAAGCCCUAAAAAAAAGAAAAGGGUAAAGCUCUAUAUAGACGUAUAAAAUCUAGCCUACAGAAAGUAGGAGACAUCGCCAGAGGGGAGAGGUGGGGAGAGGGAUGGACGGGGUUUGGGACUGGCACAGGCACACUUUUGUACCUGGACUCGACGUUCAGUGGGGCCUGCUGUACAGCACCGGGAACUCUACCCAAUAGUCUGUGACAACCCAUAUGGGAAAAGAAUGGAUGGUGUGUAUGUACAAUUGAAUCACUUUGUUGUACAAUGAAAGUCACCACAACAUUGGAAAUCACUUACACUUCAAUAAAACUUUUAAAAAUGGAAAAAAAAAAACAUUUUAAAAGAAAGAGGAGUACCUAUUGUGGCUCAGCAGGUUAAGAACCCGGCAUAGGCAGUUCCCAUGAUGGCUCAGCAGUGAGGCUCAGGUCUGGCGUUGCUUGUGGCUGUGGUAUAGGCCGGGCUGGCAGCUGCAGCUCUGAUUCGACCCCUAGCCCGGGAACUUCCAUACGCCGUGGGUGCCGCCCUAAAAAAGAAAAGAAAAGAAAGAAUGUUCAUAAUUGAAGGAGACAGACAAAAUACCUGCAGGUGUGCUGCAGACACAAGACACACGCACGCACACACGCUGACACCGUCACCUACAGUUUGAUCUGUAGAAAUAAGUUCUCAUUAGGAGUUCAUUGGAAGGAGGACCUGUGGCUGAUUCGUCCUCAGCCUCAAAGUCUGAGACAGUGUUUGGAGUGAGGUUGGUGCCAUCGA